CGGGUUUAAAGAAAAACCCCCUUCUAACUCGAAGGAAUUGACGGGGGCCCGCACAAGCGGUGGAGCAUGUGGUUUAAUUCGACGCAACGCGCAGAACCUUACCAGCCCUUGACAUGUCCAUGACCGGUCGCAGAGAUGUGACCUUCUCUUCGGAGCAUGGAGCACAGGUGCUGCAUGGCUGUCGUCAGCUCGUGUCGUGAGAUGUUGGGUUAAGUCCCGCAACGAGCGCAACCCUCGCCCUUAGUUGCCAUCAUUUAGUUGGGCACUCUAAGGGGACUGCCGGUGAUAAGCCGAGAGGAAGGUGGGGAUGACGUCAAGUCCUCAUGGCCCUUACGGGCUGGGCUACACACGUGCUACAAUGGCGGUGACAAUGAGACGCAAAGGAGCAAUCCCUAGCAAAUCUCAAAAAA
Molecule: ribosomal RNA, 410 nt
Filed under: uncultured Alphaproteobacteria bacterium
Lineage: Bacteria; Pseudomonadati; Pseudomonadota; Alphaproteobacteria
Description: bacterial SSU rRNA
Rfam family: Bacterial small subunit ribosomal RNA
Source: RNAcentral